AUUUAGCACAAGUCCAGGAAACACUUAGAGGACUGAGCUGAGACGUCGGCAUGGGUUGCAACUCCAGCAAGAGCACCUCUGCGGUGGACCCCUCUAAGAAGCCAACUGAGGACCCCCCGGGUGAAAGUGUGACCGAGGAGCAGGAGAUGGAUCAGAGUCCCAAAUCUUCAGCUGAACAGGGGGACACGUCUGUGACGACGGAGGUGGAAGUCAGCUGAAGGCAGAAACCUCCUUGUCAGCCCCCCCUACCCCACCUCACCCCACCGUACUUGCUUAUGGAGUUGGAUGUCAUAGCUGGAACCAACUCCUUCUUGCUAUUCAUGGCUACUUUAUUGUGGUACUGUCACUAAGCUGGACCAUGGGAGGAGGCCUGAGGGAUGUAGGACAACCACACGUGCUGUUCUUCUAGAAGCUUCUGCUGAUGUUCAGGUGCUACAUACAGAAGUCAUCCAACCUUAUCAAUGAUGGCAUUUAAUGGCAUUAGCCUGAUUUUUUUCCCUCUGGGUCCUCAAGAAGCCUCUUCUACCAACCAUUUGGCUCACUUUAGCUCUAGUUGAUAUAAUUUGCUUCAUAAUCUCAAAGAAUGAAGAUCUUUUAAACCUGGCCAUGUCAUUUGAUAAGAUCAUCUGGUGCGUUUUUACAGCUGCUGUGUGGUGGCCCCCACUACAGAAUCACUGCAUGUCUCCAUCUGCCAUGCUGCAGCAGAACUGGAUGAGCCCACAGAUCCCAAUGACUGCUGACUUUCUUCACUGUGGUGGGCAUGGAGACUCUUCCUGUGCAGCCUGAUCCAAUGCUUAUCAUGGAAGUCAUCACUUCAGCCAAGGAUUGGACUAGGGGGCACCACAGCUGGUGUGAAACUGAUGGGGCGGGAGGGUUUGGAUCUGAUUUACCCCAGAAUAAGACGGUGGGGCUGGGUAGUAGGCUUAUUUUUGUAUUUAUGUUGUAUUUCUUAAAUACUUGUAGUAAUUCUUCAAUUUGUGAAUACACACACACACACACACACACACACACACACAAAUGUUCAACGUACUCAAACAAAUCUGACGUGUAACUUUUCUCCAAAUAAACGCAACUUGUGAUUGUC
Long non-coding RNA from Polypterus senegalus (gray bichir), 1084 nucleotides. RefSeq lists it as uncharacterized. Lineage: Eukaryota; Metazoa; Chordata; Cladistia; Polypteriformes; Polypteridae. The record is from RefSeq and is a predicted model, not a curated record. The transcript has 2 exons.